UCAGACUAGGACAGACGCGACAUGUGUGGGGACUGCGCCUCCCCGCUUGGAAGGAAGGGUGAAACUGGCUUUAGCUGCAGGAAGGAAGGAUGCAUUGGCGCGGUGGAAAUCUUCACAGAAGGUGAAGGAGAACGUGGCUCUCUCUGUGACCACUGGGCUACAGUGGCAGCCAGGAUUUGCGUGCCUGGACAGCAGCUUCUGUCUUCACCGAAACUUGAGCUAAGCUUUCUGCCUGCCUGCUGAAGUUUGGAUUUGAAUACCCCCCGCCACACACACACACCACCCAAAUCCAGAAACUCCGGAAGCCAUUUGCACAGCGAGCCCUGCUGGUGCUUGGCCCUGGGUCUCCGCAAGCUCACACUCCGCAGGACGGCAGUCGGAAUUAGUUGCAGCAUCAGAGCAAUCUUGGGGGCAGAGCUCAUCUUUCGCAGCUCCGUGACCCUAAGCUGGGAGUGAAUGUCAUCGCUGCCUACGCGCACGUUUGAGAACCGCGAAAGCGUGGCUGGCCUGGCUGGGGCACCGGGACAGGUUGCGCAAGCCAUUGUCUGUAGUGGUAUUUGUCAUCUUCCAAGGGCCGGCAACCCGAUUAGGAUCUUCUGUGAGCGCUUCCUCAGUCACACCGCUUGAACCCCUGGAAGGCUGUUGGAAGAAGGUUCCCCUUUCACCUGCAUUGCUGGCUGGUCCCUCACACACCCCCUGGCUGCUCCCCUAGGGCUCCCUUAGGUGGCCUUGUGCAUUCCGAGGCGCACAUAGCUGAGGUUCCAGGUUUAUGUUUUUGUUGUGUG
Chinchilla lanigera (long-tailed chinchilla) is the source of this 785-nucleotide long non-coding RNA. RefSeq lists it as uncharacterized. Lineage: Eukaryota; Metazoa; Chordata; Mammalia; Rodentia; Chinchillidae. The transcript is spliced from 3 exons. The record is from RefSeq and is a predicted model, not a curated record.